AAUAAAAUAAUACAAGCUUCAUAUUACAAGCCAGAGGCCUCGAUGGCUAGAAUACAGAAGCUCGAUAAACACACGAGUCAGCGGAAGCAACAAUAUCUGAGUACAGACAUAAAACAUGGGGUGCCUUAGAGAAGGCAAGCACAAAAGAAACACGAUCGAACGAGGCGAGGCCUCCUGCCUGGGAACCUCCUAACUACUCCUAUCUUCAGCGGCCUCCACGAAGAAGACACCAUCGGGAUGGCAGACAUCGGCAGGAAAC
Molecule: long non-coding RNA, 259 nt
Filed under: Hordeum vulgare
Lineage: Eukaryota; Viridiplantae; Streptophyta; Magnoliopsida; Poales; Poaceae
Description: long non-coding RNA (HVUL_LNC007202)
Source: RNAcentral